This 1538-nucleotide ribosomal RNA is filed under the name Escherichia coli. RNAcentral's name for it is "bacterial SSU rRNA". It matches the Rfam family "Bacterial small subunit ribosomal RNA". The record is from RNAcentral. Lineage: Bacteria; Pseudomonadati; Pseudomonadota; Gammaproteobacteria; Enterobacterales; Enterobacteriaceae.
AAAUUGAAGAGUUUGAUCAUGGCUCAGAUUGAACGCUGGCGGCAGGCCUAACACAUGCAAGUCGAACGGUAACAGGAAACAGCUUGCUGUUUCGCUGACGAGUGGCGGACGGGUGAGUAAUGUCUGGGAAACUGCCUGAUGGAGGGGGGAUAACUACUGGAAACGGUAGCUAAUACCGCAUAACGUCGCAAGACCAAAGAGGGGGACCUUCGGGCCUCUUGCCAUCGGAUGUGCCCAGAUGGGAUUAGCUAGUAGGUGGGGUAACGGCUCACCUAGGCGACGAUCCCUAGCUGGUCUGAGAGGAUGACCAGCCACACUGGAACUGAGACACGGUCCAGACUCCUACGGGGAGGCAGCAGUGGGGAAUAUUGCACAAUGGGCGCAAGCCUGAUGCAGCCAUGCCGCGUGUAUGAAGAAGGCCUUCGGGUUGUAAAGUACUUUCAGCGGGAAGGGGAGUAAAGUUAAUACCUUUGCUCAUUGACGUUACCCGCAGAAGAAGCACCGGCUAACUCCGUGCCAGCAGCCGCGGUAAUACGGAGGGUGCAAGCGUUAAUCGGAAUUACUGGGCGUAAAGCGCACGCAGGCGGUUUGUUAAGUCAGAUGUGAAAUCCCCGGCUCAACCUGGGAACUGCAUCUGAUACUGGCAAGCUUGAGUCUCGUAGAGGGGGUAGAAUUCCAGGUGUAGCGGUGAAAUGCGUAGAGAUCUGGAGGAAUACCGGUGGCGAAGGCGGCCCCCUGGACGAAGACUGACGCUCAGGUGCGAAAGCGUGGGGAGCAAACAGGAUUAGAUACCCUGGUAGUCCACGCCGUAAACGAUGUCGACUUGGAGGUUGUGCCCUUGAGGCGUGGCUUCCGGAGCUAACGCGUUAAGUCGACCGCCUGGGGAGUACGGCCGCAAGGUUAAAACUCAAAUGAAUUGACGGGGGCCCGCACAAGCGGUGGAGCAUGUGGUUUAAUUCGAUGCAACGCGAAGAACCUUACCUGGUCUUGACAUCCACGGAAGUUUUCAGAGAUGAGAAUGUGCCUUCGGGAACCGUGAGACAGGUGCUGCAUGGCUGUCGUCAGCUCGUGUUGUGAAAUGUUGGGUUAAGUCCCGCAACGAGCGCAACCCUUAUCCUUUGUUGCCAGCGGUCCGGCCGGGAACUCAAAGGAGACUGCCAGUGAUAAACUGGAGGAAGGUGGGGAUGACGUCAAGUCAUCAUGGCCCUUACGACCAGGGCUACACACGUGCUACAAUGGCGCAUACAAAGAGAAGCGACCUCGCGAGAGCAAGCGGACCUCAUAAAGUGCGUCGUAGUCCGGAUUGAGUCUGCAACUCGACUCCAUGAAGUCGGAAUCGCUAGUAAUCGUGGAUCAGAAUGCCACGGUGAAUACGUUCCCGGGCCUUGUACACACCGCCCGUCACACCAUGGGAGUGGGUUGCAAAAGAAGUAGGUAGCUUAACCUUCGGGAGGGCGCUUACCACUUUGUGAUUCAUGACUGGGGUGAAGUCGUAACAAGGUAACCGUAGGGGAACCUGCGGUUGGAUCACCUCCUUA